This 1094-nucleotide long non-coding RNA is filed under the name Hordeum vulgare. RNAcentral describes it as "long non-coding RNA (HVUL_LNC000466)". The record is from RNAcentral. Lineage: Eukaryota; Viridiplantae; Streptophyta; Magnoliopsida; Poales; Poaceae.
UUUGGAACAAAUGCAGACCAAAGUCACCAAACUAAACUAAACUGAAUAUUUUACACCAGAACGGAAUCUUGACAUGUAUGAAAUGGCCAUAAAAAUAAUAAAAAUAAUAUGUGUAUCCUAGUACUACUACAAAAGAAAAAAAAUAAAAAUUACUACAAAGGAAAAUGGAUAUACUCAUCAUGUGCAUGCAAAUAUACAGGGGUGUUUUAUUUACAUUCACGUGUGAUUCUCCAUAUAUUUCCCACAACAAGGCCAGGAAUAGGAAAAGCGGGGAUAAGCGAGAUUCACCAUAUAGCUAAGACAAUUAGUUCAUCAUUGGAUUAUAAAGAUUCAUGAUGUCAGUGACAUGCCACACCAUGAACAAGGGCAUCAACACGAAUAGCAAGAGGAAAAUCAGCCCAAAUCACAUAAGCUAAUGGAGAAAUCUGCCAUUCUUUUGCCAACAAAAUUCGAUCAAAGAAGAGAAGAAAUCUGCAUCCCAGAUCAGGUAAGUUAAUGGAGAAAUCUAGAGUUGUUUUUCCAACAAAAUCAGAUCAAAUAAGAGAAGAAAUCUACAGGAUAACAACAACGCAACGUGAUUUUCCUCGACAUGGACCACCUCGUCCUCCUCCUGGUGUCUAGUCACCAUCGUUACUCACAUGCCCCCCGCGGCCACCGCCAUUAUUGUCCCCGAGUUUGAUGGUAGGCAUAGGAGUCGUUGCCACCCAUCUCCCUUGGUGCCAUUUCCUCCCCCAUCUUGCGGCGCCUCCUCCUGUUUUCACCACUCCCGGGACGCCAAAUCUGCAUGCUCGCCGAUGUUCGGACAAAUAAGAAUGGGAUGGAGCGGAUGCUUGCCUGGAGGUGACUCAAAUUUGAACCCCAUUAUGGGGAUUGACGGGAAAGGGAGCACAACAACGAUAGUGGAGGAGCAUCAGGCGGAGGCGAGGCUCAUAGGGUGAAGGCCGUGGUGAUGAGUGAGGAGGAGGGAGCGGGUGCAGCAGCGGACGAGGGAGCAGGAGGAGGCGAGGGGUGUGGCAAAUGUGGAUUGGGGGGCUAAGGUUAGUGCGGCCCUGCUUAUUGGGUGUCCCACAAGAACAACCAAUCGCACCCUUCCG